Molecule: long non-coding RNA, 442 nt
Organism: Lonchura striata (white-rumped munia)
Lineage: Eukaryota; Metazoa; Chordata; Aves; Passeriformes; Estrildidae
Source: RefSeq, a predicted model, not a curated record
AGAAUAGUUAGCAUUACUAGCGUGUACGGUCGGUUCCACAUUUGGUCUUUCCCAGCUUCCACAUACUGGUGAAAAGAACUCUUAAAGGCUCCAAGUUUUGCACACUGGAUGGUGAAGUUAAGCAAAGCAGUCUGAAGAUGUGCAACAUUCACAGGGUUGUUUCCUGACUAAUUCCUGCUGCAUCAAAGACAAUGAAGAACCAAGCUGGGACUCCAUCAGCUCCUGCAGAGGGACAAGUCCAAGUUGAGAGUUGUCAGCUUGUGUCUGCAAAGUCACUGCCCAUUACUCAAUACAUUUUGAGUGCAUCAUCAGUCUAACUGGACAGAUGAGGGUAUGUGCACUCAGAAGUUGUCUAGUGCCAUAGCUACCACCUGACAAACAAUUUGUGGACUGUACUUCCAACUACUAGAUUCUGGGAAGGAUUAGUUAAGAAGGGAAAAAA